This 450-nucleotide ribosomal RNA is filed under the name uncultured bacterium. RNAcentral's name for it is "bacterial SSU rRNA". It matches the Rfam family "Bacterial small subunit ribosomal RNA", at positions 354 to 796 of the family's 1533-position model. The record is from RNAcentral.
GUGGGGAAUAUUGGACAAUGGGCGAAAGCCUGAUCCAGCCAUGCCGCGUGUGUGAAGAAGGUCUUCGGAUUGUAAAGCACUUUAAGUUGGGAGGAAGGGCAGUAAGUUAAUACCUUGCUGUUUUGACGUUACCGACAGAAUAAGCACCGGCUAACUUCGUGCCAGCAGCCGCGGUAAUACGAAGGGUGCAAGCGUUAAUCGGAAUUACUGGGCGUAAAGCGCGCGUAGGUGGUUUUGUAAGUUGGAGGUGAAAUCCCCGGGCUCAAACUGGGAACUGCCUCAAAAACUGCAUGACUAGAGUACGGUAGAGGGUAGUGGAAUUUCCUGUGUAGCGGUGAAAUGCGUAGAUAUAGGAAGGAACACCAGUGGCGAAGGCGACUACCUGGACUGAUACUGACACUGAGGUGCGAAAGCGUGGGGAGCAAACAGGAUUAGAAACCCUUGUAGUCC